This 249-nucleotide ribosomal RNA is filed under the name uncultured prokaryote. RNAcentral describes it as "partial 16S ribosomal RNA". It matches the Rfam family "Bacterial small subunit ribosomal RNA", at positions 524 to 772 of the family's 1533-position model. The record is from RNAcentral.
UACGGAGGAUGCGAGCGUUAUCCGGAUUUAUUGGGUUUAAAGGGUGCGUAGGCGGAUAUGUAAGUCAGCGGUGAAACUCACAGGCUCAACCUGUGCCGUGCCGUUGAAACUGUGUAUCUGGAAUGCGGAUGCUGUGGGAGGAAUGUGUAGUGUAGCGGUGAAAUGCAUAGAUAUUACACAGAACACCGAUUGCGAAGGCAUCUCACAAAGCAGUUAUUGACGCUGAGGCACGAAAGUGUGGGGAUCAAA